Molecule: long non-coding RNA, 503 nt
Organism: Oncorhynchus tshawytscha (Chinook salmon)
Lineage: Eukaryota; Metazoa; Chordata; Actinopteri; Salmoniformes; Salmonidae
Source: Ensembl
CCUGGGACCCUGUCCCCUCCCUGUCUCACCAGGUAACACACCUGGUACCCUGUCCCCUCCCUGUCUCACCAGGUAACACAACUGGUACCCUGUCCCCUCCCUGUCUGCUGUCUCACCAGCUAACACACCUGGUACCCUGUCCCCCCCUGUCUCACCAGGUAACACACCUGGUACCCUGUCCCCUCCCUGUCUCACCAGGUAACACACCUGGUACCCUGUCCCCUCCCUGUCUCACCAGGUAACACACCUGGUACCCUGUCCCCUCCCUGUCUCACCAGGUACCACACCUGGUACCCUGUCCCCUCCCUGUCUCACCAGGUAACACACCUGGUCCCAUCCCUGUCUGCUGUCUCACCAGGUAACACACUUGGUACCCUGUCCCCUCCCUGUCUCACCAGGUAACACACUUGGUACCCUGUCCCCUCCCUGUCUCACCAGGUAACACACUUGGUACCCUGUCCCCUCCCUGUCUCACCAGGUAGCACACUUGGUCCCCUGUCCCC